UGGGGAAUAUUGCACAAUGGGCGCAAGCCUGAUGCAGCCAUGCCGCGUGUGUGAAGAAGGCCUUCGGGUUGUAAAGCACUUUCAGCGAGGAGGAAGGUGGUGAGCUUAAUACGCUCAUCAAUUGACGUUACUCGCAGAAGAAGCACCGGCUAACUCCGUGCCAGCAGCCGCGGUAAUACGGAGGGUGCAAGCGUUAAUCGGAAUUACUGGGCGUAAAGCGCACGCAGGCGGUUUGUUAAGUCAGAUGUGAAAAUCCCCGGGCUCAACCUGGGAACUGCAUUUGAAACUGGCAAGCUAGAGUCUCGUAGAGGGGGUAGAAUUCCAGGUGUAGCGGUGAAAUGCGUAGAGAUCUGGAGGAAUACCGGUGGCGAAGGCGGCCCCCUGGACGAAGACUGACGCUCAGGUGCGAAAGCGUGGGGAGCAAACAGAUUAGAUACCCUGGUAGUCCACGCUGU
Molecule: ribosomal RNA, 455 nt
Filed under: uncultured bacterium
Lineage: Bacteria
Description: partial 16S ribosomal RNA
Rfam family: Bacterial small subunit ribosomal RNA
Source: RNAcentral